CCCAGCCCCAUCACCAUACGAUUUUUCAUAUCUCCACUCCCUAAAAUCUCUCUGACAAACCAAAUCUCCACAUAAUUGUUAUAUAUAUCUCUUCCCACAAUCUCAGCCAGUUUCAACGCCAUCCGGUUCAGUUCCUCUUCGUUUCUGCAAAGGGUGAACUGUGCACGUUGUUUGUGGUUGGAGAAGAAAGUGAUUGAGGAGCUAAGAGAACGAGAUUGAGCUGUGACGAGCGCGGUGGGUGUUGAGCAUAAAAGUGAAGAAGAUAACAAAUAAAGAUUUCGAAUAUAUUAUGUCUUCAUACAUAGUAUAAUUCUUCUCUCGAAUGCUUCCGCUAAAUGUUGUUUCUCUUGAGUUCAUUUAUUGAUGAGAUAUUGUAUUCCUUUGAGUUGUCGGUUGUUGAGAUAAUACUCUGAUUUUAUUCGAGAUAUUCCAUUUAU
Salvia hispanica is the source of this 437-nucleotide non-coding RNA. The record is from RefSeq and is a predicted model, not a curated record. NCBI's taxonomy places the organism in Eukaryota, Viridiplantae, Streptophyta, Magnoliopsida, Lamiales, Lamiaceae.